UGGGGGAUAUUGCACAAUGGGGGAAACCCUGAUGCAGCAACGCCGCGUGAAGGAAGAAGGUCUUCGGAUUGUAAACUUUUGUCCUCAGGGAAGAUAAUGACGGUACCUGAGGAGGAAGCUCCGGCUAACUACGUGCCAGCAGCCGCGGUAAUACGUAGGGAGCGAGCGUUGUCCGGAUUUACUGGGUGUAAAGGGUGCGUAGGCGGAUAGACAAGUCAGUGGUGAAAACUAUGGGCUUAACCCAUAGAGUGCCAUUGAAACUGCCUAUCUUGAGUGGAGUAGAGGCAGGCGGAAUUCCCGGUG
This 303-nucleotide ribosomal RNA is filed under the name uncultured bacterium. RNAcentral's name for it is "bacterial SSU rRNA". It matches the Rfam family "Bacterial small subunit ribosomal RNA", at positions 355 to 675 of the family's 1533-position model. The record is from RNAcentral.